GCAGGGCAGCCAGCCUGGCCGGGGGCAGGGAAGGAGCCGCUGCGGCAGCCCGGCUCGCCCUCCCCUGCCAGAGGGAGCGCCCAGGAGAACACCCCUGGCAGCCGUGCCAGAAAAGUGUAGGGUGCAGAAUGCUUCUGUGAGGUGUUUCCGGAAGGCGCCCAAGUGGUGCCAUUUUCAAGAAAUUCCAAAAUCUCUUCCUUUCCUCCAUUGCCUUGUUGGCCGCAAAAGUGGGAUGCGGUCCUGGUGUGCUCAAGCGCCAGUCAAACAGUCCAGGGUAAGAGGAGGAAGAUGCUUCAUGCUGCAGAAAAACGGUCUCCUGGCACAAAGUAGGCAAAAUGGAGCCCAGGAAAAACAACUUCCAUUGUUAUCUUAUUUACAGGAAAGUAAGCAGGCACUGCACACUCUUGUCUUUCAGGGUCGCAGAAUCGCCCACGUAUGGGCACAUCUGGGGAAAACUCGGGUCAGUCCUUCAGCCAGGAGAUGCUGUCUCCUGCCCCCUCCCCGCACCCCAUGCUCUGGAUUGGGAAGAGGGGCUCUUGGCUAGAGUCCCCCCCUCCUGUUGGCCACUUCAAGUAGCCGCAUCACUGGAUCUGCAUUCAGAAUUACCCAGUCUUCUUCCGUGAAUUAAAGUGUGUUCAUACACUUCAAAAAGUAUGCAUCUUUCCUGGUGCAUGCACUCCAUCUCCCCACUCUUGCCUUUCAGCUGCAUGGCAAGGUCAGGAGUAUAUAAACGUUUUUUCAUAGAAUAGUAGAGCUGGAAGGGGACACAAAGGCCAUCAAGUCCAACCCCGAUGGCCUUCAGGGCAGCAUGCGUUUUGCUUGACAGGUGUGAGCAGGGUAACUCUUCGCCACAAAUAGAAAUGAAUUUCGCAUGCAGGCGUGAGGCACUUGUGCUGGGCAGGGCGAGGUGCCCGUUCAGGUGAGGGAGAGAGUGCCAGAGUCUGCGCCCUUCACUCUGCCGGGACCUUUUAGCAUCUGAUGUAUUUGUCAGCGCAGGAGUCUUUCUUCCCUUUCUCCUCAAGUUGUGAUCAUGAGUGCUAUUUGAAAUUGCAUGUUGGAGUCAACAAAGUCACUAGAAGUGUGGGGUGGACCUUGCUGUGAAUUUUAUGUCAGUGCACUGAGGAGUUGUCCAGUCUGUUCUACUGCCUUGUAAACUACUGGGUGGCUCACGUAUCCAUAGGGACCAGAAACCCUGUUUGAUUUAAUGUGCGCCUGUAACUCAUGAGCAUGAUUCAGGAGUUCUCCUGUGUACCACUAAUGUGCAAGGUAGAGAGGCUGAGCGCCAGCCCCUGGCUCGGCUCCUGCGCUCCUCCGUGGCCACCCUCAUUGCCCGCCACCGACUGGCUGAAAGCGUCUGUGGCAGGGAACCUCUUCUGCUUGCGCGGGCUUUUGGCAUGACAUGGAACCCUGCGGGGUCCGUGCUGCAAAUGGCGAGGGGGCCUGCAUGGUGGGCGCGGCACCCACCCCUUCGCCUUGCAACGUGGGCCCUCGUGGGAGUGGGGACAGAAGCGGCACCCCCGGCUGCAAAACAGCCUGCGGGUGUCUUCGAGGUGGCCCAGGCGUGAAUUGUUUGGUGCAGGGAGGGACUCUAGUUUAUUUGGAUGACACACGAGUCUGCCUGGACGAUCUGGGUGGAUUUUGACCAACAACAUUCUGUUUGCAUGGAGGGACCUCCUUUUGCAACAGGCCUGCUGGCAGAAUAUGUAUUUUUUUCCUGGCUGCCUGUAGAGAAACCUGGCCUUGGAGGACAAGUGCCAUGGGGCUGAGUGGGGCUGGGCGCUUUGGCCCCACGGGGAAUGCAGCAGCAACUGGGAACGGUCAGCGCCCGCCCGUCUGCCCCAGACACCCUCUCAGUGGCACCUCCUCCUUUCUUCCCACAGAGAUGACUCUGCGGAAGUGGACGUCUACAGUCCGGCAAAGAACGAGUGGGACAAGAUCCCUCCAAUGCUCCAGGUGCAUGUUGGUGGCAGCCUGGCUGUCCUUGGUGGAAAGCUUUAUGUCUCUGGUGGUUACGAUAACACCUUUGAACUUUCAGGAAUGGUGGAAUCAUAUGAUCCCGAGACUCGGAAGUGGAGCGUGGCUGGCCAGCUCCCAGAGCCCAUCUUCUGGCACAGUAGUGUCAGUAUUUUCCGCCAGUUCAUGCCAGAGACGCUGGAAGACGAGGAGGAGGAGCGACUGCCUUUGGAUAAUGCCCUCAGCUUGAACCUGCAGCACAACCAGAACUUGAACGAGCUGCGUUAAUUGUGGGGACGGAUUUCCCCCGGCUUGGAGCCGCUGCGCUGCUGGGAGCCCGCUCUGCUUCGUGGGGAUGCUGCUGAGGUGCAAGGGGGGGCGCGGGGAAGCAGCGGCUGGGGAAGACGCCUGCCUGGCCACCGCUGAUUCACGCUCUCUCUCCUGCCUGUCAGAGGUGGGGCAGCCAUUACUGGGAAGCUCCAGAAAGGAAGGAGGAAGGCAGGUGGGAGAGGAAUUGGGGUCCAACUGCCCUGUUUGGCCUCAGAGUUGGCAAACUUUGAUCCAAAACCUUUGAAAAGCACCUUUCUUACAAGGCCGCGCUUUAUCAGUUGAGGGCAUUAGUUUGGUAAAAAGGCUGACAAAGGGUAGGAGAGGACAAUAUUCUGCACAAGUAUGCAAGGAGAGGGAAUAGGGAGGAGUUAAGGGCUUCGGAAGAGCCCCCUGCGACAUUAGACCCGGUGCAGUACCCUGGCCUCAUGGGUCAGCUGGAGGCCCAGAGGAAUACAAGUGCACCUGAGUCCUUCCUGCUGGUAGCCGGAGGCUGCAAUGUGGAGGCACCCGGCCCAGCACAGAGCUGUUGGGAGCAGUGCCACGGGUGGCUGCCAGUUCCGUGCAAGUAGUACAGUUACUGCAGGUCUCUCUCCUUUGGAUGGCGGUGACCCGGGUUCUAGUCCCCAUUUGCCAUGGUGCCAGCAGAGAAUCUCUGGGCCAGUCAGACUCUCAACCCAGCCUUCUCCACAGGGUUUUUGUUGUGGUGGUAAGACUUGAGAGCAGCAGGAGAAAGAUGGAAGCUGCCUUGAGUUCUUCAAGAAAAAGAGGGCAUAAAUCUAAUUUAAUUAAAUGCGCCGAAGUUGGUGGCCCUCACCCCACUUGCAGAAGUGCACCCUGUAGUAAUGCUUUCCCCCCUUCUCCACAUGACGCCAGCUGAAUUUAUGACUCUCAGGUGCAGGGGUGGCCACAGCCAUGGGCUUUAAAAGGGUGGUGGUCCAGCAGCCACCGCUGGCCAGCUCAGUGGACUGAGAGCUGCUGUGUCCUUCCGGGCCUUUUGCUAGGCACUGCAGUGGGCAAGACCUUCUGUCCCGUUAGGUUAAAAAGGAUGCAUCUCUUGGUGCAGGUGGGCACUCCUGAUCUUCACAGGGGCCCUGCAGUGAACCUGCUCCCUCCCCUCCUGCAGCCCGUGCCCCACACCUGCAGCCCAGACCCCCAGAGGGUACCCUCUCCCCCUGGAAAGUUCUCUGCCGCCUGUGGCUGCUGGAAGCAGGGCUGUCCUCUGCCUGCUUCGGCUGGCCAGACUGGACCUUGGAGGGUUGUCAGUGGUGCCCCGAUCGGUUCAUGUGUACCUUGUGGACAUGACUGGGCAAGUGUCUCCGCUGCUCUCAAGCCCAGAUAUGGAUCUCCACAACCCUUCCCUUGCCACCAGGACCCAUGCUCCUUUCCCUGCGGUACCAGCCUGCAUUGUGCUCAUUGCUCUGCAGACCUUACCUCUUAAGCACAGGCAAGGCCCCUCGUGGUAAAAGGGAGGGGGCGACAGAAAAGGGAGCAAGCUUUAUUUAAUGCUGCAGAACCCUCCUUUGCUGGCUCUCUGCUGGGACUGGGAUGUCUUGCACUAAACACUGCCGCAGUGGGCGUGGGGAACCACGGGCCCAGAGCACAAAGCUGACCCUCCUGAGCUCCCAGGCCAGGCCUCCCGAUGCCCGAGAUGGACCCUCCCUCUCUUGCAGCCAUUGAUCCUUGUGUGGUUACCCAGUUUUAACAGUGUUUUCUCCCCUUCUAAAAUGUUGACAUGCCUUUACGUGUAGGAAGGGCUAAUGCCGAAAUAGGUCAGCAUUUUGGCCCUGCCCCUUUCGCUGCAGCCACUGGAUUUGGUUGGGUUCAAGUUUCCCCCUGCUGCUUAAGGGGAAAUGAGCAAAGCUGAGAGGGGGUUCGAGCACUGGAAGUGUCUGCAAGGGCUCGCACAUCCUUGCUAAUGCUGUUAGUCUGCAGGGACCCUUCCUCUUCCACCUUCUGCCGUCUUUGAAAACAGUUCCUUUUAAACGAGAGCACAUCAAGCGAGUGAAAUUAAAGCAGCAAGGAAAAGCUGUGUGCAUUUCGAAAAGGGUUCAGAUGCAUGCCCUGUUCCAACAGUUUCUGAGAAGGUUGUCUGUUUUGAACACUGGGGGAAACACUUCAUGUGUAAACAGAACCUGGUUACACAUGGCAAUGACACAACUGGGAAUUCUGGUGAGGGAGCAGUGGCUCCUGCAAGCCAAACUAUUUGUUUUGGUUCUUGAGAACAGUCUCAAGCCUCUGAGAUUGGAAACAAAUAUUUGUCAGAAAACCUCACUCUUUGAUACUCUGGGGGUUACGUGAUUUGUGCAGCUCGCUUUUCAUAUUUCACCUAUAGGAGCAUCUUGCACCCAGGGGGAGCACUGUGCUCCUAAGAGGGCGCAUCGAUUUCCAAGGAACACUGUCCCGCUUGCCAGCAAAUGAAGCGGGAGGCCGCACGCUGCUGCCUCAGCACCUUGCCGCUGCUGGAAGGCUCACCAGAAGCCUCCACCGAGCCUCCACCCCCUCCCUCUUCCUCGCAUCCACACGACCAGCUUUUGGGUCUGACCCACGGGGAGGAGAGGAUGCCUGGCAACGAGUGCCCGUGCAGCCCAGCUGCCUCCCUCCAGGCAGUGAGGAGCAGCCGCCACCGCCCCCAACGACUUCCUUUAGUAUUGCUCACUCGCAAGGGUUUUGUGCUGGGCUGUUCUGCAGGCCAAUAGGCAACAUGCUGCUUUUAUCACCGUGCCAGACCGUGCAUUGUCCUGGAAGCUCUAAGACCAGAUGAGUCACUAAAUAUUUAUUUAAUCUACUGCCUUAAGUUCUGUGUGCCAACAUCCUUUGAAACAAAGGGAUUUCGUAGAUUUUGUAUUUUUCCCCUUUAACCUUGAAAGCUGAGUGUUAAAUAAAGGUGUGCGUGGAGA
Molecule: long non-coding RNA, 5180 nt
Organism: Varanus komodoensis (Komodo dragon)
Lineage: Eukaryota; Metazoa; Chordata; Lepidosauria; Squamata; Varanidae
Exons: 2
Source: RefSeq, a predicted model, not a curated record